AGGACGAACGCUGGCGGCGUGCUUAACACAUGCAAGUCGAGCGGUGAUCCUCCUUCGGGAGGUGAUCAGCGGCGAACGGGUGAGUAACACGUGGGCAACUUGCCCCUCACACUGGGAUAACCUCGGGAAACCGGGGCUAAUACCGGAUACGACCUCGAGCGGCAUCUCUUGAGGUGGAAAGCUCCGACGGUGAGGGAUGGGCCCGCGGCCUAUCAGCUUGUUGGUGGGGUAAUGGCCUACCAAGGCGACGACGGGUA
RNAcentral lists this ribosomal RNA (257 nucleotides) under uncultured bacterium. RNAcentral's name for it is "partial small subunit ribosomal RNA". It matches the Rfam family "Bacterial small subunit ribosomal RNA", at positions 26 to 285 of the family's 1533-position model. The record is from RNAcentral.